RNAcentral lists this ribosomal RNA (740 nucleotides) under uncultured bacterium. RNAcentral's name for it is "bacterial SSU rRNA". It matches the Rfam family "Bacterial small subunit ribosomal RNA", at positions 48 to 802 of the family's 1533-position model. The record is from RNAcentral.
UCUACCAUGCAGUCGACAGAAAGGCCCUGCUUUUGUGGGGUGCUCGAGUAGCGAACGGGUGAGUAACACGUGAGUAACCUGCCCUUGACUUUGGGAUAACUUCAGGAAACUGGGGCUAAUACCGGAUAGGAGCUCCUGCUGCAUGGUGGGGGUUGGAAAGUUUCGGCGGUUGGGGAUGGACUCGCGGCUUAUCAGCUUGUUGGUGGGGUAGUGGCUUACCAAGGCUUUGACGGGUAGCCGGCCUGAGAGGGUGACCGGCCACAUUGGGACUGAGAUACGGCCCAGACUCCUACGGGAGGCAGCAGUGGGGAAUAUUGCACAAUGGGCGGAAGCCUGAUGCAGCAACGCCGCGUGCGGGAUGACGGCCUUCGGGUUGUAAACCGCUUUCGCCUGUGACGAAGCGUGAGUGACGGUAAUGGGUAAAGAAGCACCGGCUAACUACGUGCCAGCAGCCGCGGUGAUACGUAGGGUGCGAGCGUUGUCCGGAUUUAUUGGGCGUAAAGGGCUCGUAGGUGGUUGAUCGCGUCGGAAGUGUAAUCUUGGGGCUUAACCCUGAGCGUGCUUUCGAUACGGGUCGACUUGAGGAAGGUAGGGGAGAAUGGAAUUCCUGGUGGAGCGGUGGAAUGCGCAGAUAUCAGGAGGAACACCAGUGGCGAAGGCGGUUCUCUGGGCCUUUCCUGACGCUGAGGAGCGAAAGCGUGGGGAGCGAACAGGCUUAGAUACCCUGGUAGUCCACGCUG